This 1333-nucleotide long non-coding RNA is filed under the name Bos indicus x Bos taurus (hybrid cattle). RNAcentral's name for it is "lncRNA (ENSBIXG00000024551.1)". The record is from RNAcentral. Lineage: Eukaryota; Metazoa; Chordata; Mammalia; Artiodactyla; Bovidae.
CUUGAGACCGGUGUGCGCAUGCGCGCAAUAGGGGGCUCCACGCAGAGGGGCGCGACAGACGGCCAGUUCGCCUGUACAGAAAGUCCUAGGCUGCAGGAUAAAGCCUUGAGUCGCUUUGUGGUGCAGUUUUACCCAUUCAAGCACCCAUUCAAGGUGCUUUCUGGGGAUCCAAUCCGGAAUCACUGCAGAGGGGGCCUGGAUUGUAAACCAGAUUGCAACACGCAGGCAACACAUCUAUGGAAAGGGGCAACAUGUAUAGGAUGCCGACAGUGGACCGGGCCUGUGCAAGCAAGGCCCUGUAGAGUGGUCGAUUCACAGAUUCAGCUUCGCUGAAGAGACUGACUGCCUCAAACGAUGAACAUAGGCAUGUGGAACAGUGGACAAAAUCGUUCCUUUUUUAUACGUAAAUGUGGAACAGAGCUACCGUUUAGAGGCUAGCAAACUUAAGUUAAAGGACUGCUUUGGUUGGGAUGCUGAAGACUAGGACAGAAUACAACUGAUUGCUUGUUUUAUCUACGUUGUAAUAGGAAUCAACUUCAUUUGGCAUAGUGUUUUAAAUCCAUUAUAUGUCAUACUGUUAUUCAAUAAGAAACCAGCAUUUUAUACCGUGGCCUUAGAUGAUAUUUAACAAUAUUUCUGUGUUUCAAACAAGUGUCUUUAUUUGAUUAUUUGAGGUUGUUUAUAAUGCCAUUUAAUUCAAGUGAACACAUAUAUUUACAUUUACUGAUAUUGUAGUCAGUUGACUUUGCCACUGAAAGAAAAAAAUUGGUACAACUAGUUAUUUGUUAAAAUAGAAAGCAGAAAAUUAAAUUAUAAAAUAGGGGAAAAGAAAGGAUUCUAAUGAAAAUUUAACAGAGCAAUAGGUGGGUUUUUAAGCUUUUUUUUUUUUGGUUAUUGAUUACAUUACAUUUGUGGUCAGAGAAUAUGAACUAUGUGAUAUAAAGCCUUUGCUGUUGGAACACAGAUGAAAAAAUAGAUAAAGAGAAUAACAAGUCAAGAAGUAUCCGCAUAUACGUCCCAGAACUUGUGUAUAACAGAGGUGGCAUUUCUGAUGAGUUUCGUGAUAAGGACUUAAAAAAUUUCUCAUAUAAUUACUCAUCCCAGGUGGUGCCCGUGGUAAAGAAACUGCCUGCCAAUGCAGGAGACAUAAGAGACACAGGUUCAAUCCCUGGGUCAGGAAGAUCCCCUGGAGGAGGAAAUGGUAACCUACUCCAGUGUUCUUGCCUGGAGAAUUCCAUGGACAGAGGAGCCUGGUAGGCUACAGUCUAUAGGAUCCAUAGGGUCGCAAAGAGUUGGACAUGACUGAAGCGACUUGUUAUGCAGUGUGUGUAUA